This is a long non-coding RNA of Nothoprocta perdicaria, 136 nucleotides long. RefSeq lists it as uncharacterized. The transcript has 2 exons. The record is from RefSeq and is a predicted model, not a curated record. NCBI's taxonomy places the organism in Eukaryota, Metazoa, Chordata, Aves, Tinamiformes, Tinamidae.
CUCUGUGGGACGCUCGAGAGAGUUGGAUCUGGCUCUGUGGGACGCUCCUCGCGCAGACGGCCAGGGAAGGACCAGCUCGGGCUUGGGCUGCUGGCUGUACCUCAGGUGGAGCGGAUGGCAUUACGUGCCCCGGGCA